Molecule: non-coding RNA, 76 nt
Filed under: Geobacter pickeringii
Lineage: Bacteria; Pseudomonadati; Thermodesulfobacteriota; Desulfuromonadia; Geobacterales; Geobacteraceae
Description: c-di-GMP sequence
Rfam family: c-di-GMP-I riboswitch aptamer
About the family: GEMM was predicted in a large-scale screen for bacterial structured RNA regulatory elements.
Source: Rfam by way of RNAcentral
UAUCGAUAAUACUAAACCACCUGCGAGGGUGGGGCGGAAAGCCCACGGGUCUCCCCGAGACAGCCGGGUUGCCGAA